RNAcentral lists this long non-coding RNA (326 nucleotides) under Mytilus galloprovincialis (Mediterranean mussel). The record is from RNAcentral. Lineage: Eukaryota; Metazoa; Mollusca; Bivalvia; Mytilida; Mytilidae.
GUAAAAUUGUUCAUCAGGUCAAAAUCUAUCUGCCCUGAAAUUUUCAGAUGAAUCGGACAACCUGUUGUUGGGUUGCUGUCCCUGAAUUGGAAAUUUUAAGGAAAUUUUACUGUUUCUGGUUAUUAUCUUGAAUACUAUUAUAGAUAGAGAUAAACUGUAAACAGCAAUAAUGUUCAGCAAAGUAAGAUUUACAAAUAAGUCAACAUGACCAAAAUGGUCAGUUGACCAAUUUAGGAGUUAUUGCCCUUUAUAGUCAAUUUUUAACCAUUUUUCGUAAAUCUUAGUAAUCUUUUACAAAAAUCGUCUCCUCUGAAACCACUGGGCCA